GACGAACGCUGGCGGCGUGCUUAACACAUGCAAGUCGAACGGAAAGGCCUGCUUUCCCUUGUGGAUUGCGGGUACUCGAGUGGCGAACGGGUGAGUAACACGUGAGUGAUCUGCCCCCAACUUGGGUAUAAGCCUGGGAAACUGGGUCUAAUUCCCGAUAGGACUGCAGGGUGGUGCCUGUGGUGGCAAACGAUUUUCUAGUGGUUGGGGAUGAGCUCGCGGCCUAUCAGCUUGUUGGUGGGGUAAUGGCCGACCAAGGCGGCGACGGGUAGCCGGCCUGAGAGGGUGGACGGCCACAUUGGGACUGGGAUACGGCCCAGACUCGUGCGGGAGGCAGCAGUGGGGAAUAAUGCACAAUGGGCGGAAGGCUGAUGCAGCGACGCAGCGUGGGGGAUGACGGCCUUCGGGUUGUAAACUCCUUUCGACCGCGAGGAAGCCACCUGGUUGGAAGGGUGGUGACGGUAGUGGUAGAAGAAGCACCGGCUAACUACGUG
This 494-nucleotide ribosomal RNA is filed under the name uncultured bacterium. RNAcentral describes it as "partial 16S ribosomal RNA". It matches the Rfam family "Bacterial small subunit ribosomal RNA", at positions 28 to 507 of the family's 1533-position model. The record is from RNAcentral.